UACGUAGGGGGCUAGCGUUGUCCGGAAUCAUUGGGCGUAAAGCGCGUGUAGGCGGUCCGGUAAGUCCGCUGUGAAAGUCGGGGGCUCAACCCUCGGAUGCCGGUGGAUACUGUCGGGCUUGAGUACGGAAGAGGCGAGUGGAAUUCCUGGUGUAGCGGUGAAAUGCGCAGAUAUCAGGAGGAACACCAAUUGCGAAGGCAGCUCGCUGGGACGUUACUGACGCUGAGACGCGAAAGCUAGGGGAGCAAACGGG
Molecule: ribosomal RNA, 253 nt
Filed under: uncultured bacterium
Lineage: Bacteria
Description: partial 16S ribosomal RNA
Rfam family: Bacterial small subunit ribosomal RNA
Source: RNAcentral